AUCCCCAUAGUGCGGGAGUUUGGAGAUGUGUUUUCAGCGGAGCUUCCAGGAAUGCCACCUGAUAGGGAGAUUGAAUUUGUUGUAGAUAUCGUCCCUGGGACUACGCCAAUCUCAAAAGUACCCUACAGGAUGGCACCAGCUGAGUUAAAAGUGCUGAGGGCACAAUUGCAAGAUCUUUUGGACAAGGAUUUUGUGCGGCCGAGUGUUUCACCUUGGGGAGCACCGGUUCUAUUUGUUAAGAAGAAGGACGGAUCACUUCGCUUCUGCGUGGACUAUCGUGAACUUAAUAAGGUCAUGAUCAAGAACAAGUAUUCGUUGCCGAGGAUCGAUGAUCUAUUUGAUCAGCUUCAGGGAUCAAGUGUGCAUUCCAAGAUCGACUUGCAGUCGGAAUACCACCAGUUAAGGAUCAAGCCCGAGAAUGUAUCGAAGACGGCUUUUAGAACACGGUAUGGACAUUAUGAGUUUACAGUUAUGCCGUUUGGGCUUACUAAUGCCCUGGCAGCUUUUAUGGAUUUAAUGAACCGUGUUUUCAAGCCUUAUCUAGACAGGUUCGUCAUGGUGUUCAUUGACGACAUCUUGGUAUAUUCCCGAAGUGAUGCGGAUCACGAGGAACACUUGAGACUUGUACUUCAAGUGCUUCGGAAAAAGAAACUCUUUGCCAACUUGAAGAAAUGUGAGUUUUUGCUUAGAGAGGUGGCGUUUUUGGGCUAUUUGGUUUCGAGAUUAGGUAUAGCCGUGGAUCCUAGGAAGAUCGAGGCAAUCAAGGAUUGGCCGAGGCCGAUGAGUGUUACCGAGAUACAGAGUUUUAUUGGUUUGGCCGGCUACUACCGACGGUUUGUUGAGGGGUUUGCAAAGUUAUCUACUCCUCUCACGAGGCUCACGCAUAAGGGUACCAAGUUCAUUUGGAACGAUGCGUGCGAAAGAAGCUUUCAAGAGUUGAAGCAGAGAUUGACGAUCUCUCCGGUCCUAACCUUGCCAAUUGCUAGAGCAGGGUAUGUGAUUUAUAGCGAUACUUCAUUUAAUAGAUUCGGCUGUGUUUUGAUGCAGGACAAGAAGGUGAUCGCGUAUACUUCUCGCCAAUUAAAGGAUUAUGAGAGAAACUAUCUUACACAUGAUUUGGAGUUGGCGGCCGUAGUCUUUGCAUUGAAGCUAUAGCGCCAUUAUCUUUAUGGCGAGCGAUGUGAAGUAUAUACGAAUCACAAGAACUUAAAGCACUUAUUUACUCAGAAGGAGUUGAACUUGAGGCAGCGAAGAUGGUUGGAGCUACUCAAGAAUUAUAAUUUAACGAUUCUCUACCACCCGGAUAAGGCUAAUGUGGUGGCAGAUGCGCUAAGUCGGAAAUCAACGAAAAACUUAGCGAUGUUUAUGGUUACUUAACCGCCGUUGAUCGAGCAGAUGAAGCGGUUGGAGUUGGAGGUGGUGACUUCUGACACGCCUUUGAGGUUGAUGAUUUUGGUAGUGCAACCUACACUUUUGGAAAGGAUUAAAGAAAAGCAAAUUCACGAUGUGGAGUUGCAAAGGAUUAGAGCUAAAAUGGUUGAUGGUUGCACCGGUGAUUUCACUGUGGAGAAUCUUGGAUUGAUGCGUUUCCGCUGGCUGAUUUGUGUACCGGCGGAAUCGGCACUUUAAAAGGAUAUUCUUCAAGAAGCACACCGUGCACCCUAUGCUACACAUCCAGGAGGCACCAAGAUAUACAAGAACUUAAAGUUGCUAUAUUCGUGGCCCGGGAUGAAAAAGGAUGUUGGCGAGUUUGUUGCUAGAUGUUUAACUUGCCAACAGGUAAAGGCUGAGCACCGAGUUCCCGCCGGAAAAUUACAGAGCUGACCGAUUCCAGUGUGGAAAUGGAAGAAGAUCACCAUAGACUUCGUGAUGGGAUUGCCUCGCUCACAGGCCGGGCAUGAUGCUAUUUGGGUGAUCGUGGAUAGGUUGACGAAAUCAGCUCAUUUCUUACCUAUUCACACUACUUGGACUGGUGAGAGACUCGCACAGGUAUAUCUUGAUUAGAUUGUACGACUGCACGGGGUACCUAUUUCUAUAGUUUUGGAUCGAGAUCCUCGUUUUGUAUCUCAUUUUUGGAGGAGCUUCCAGGAUGCCUUGGGCACACGCUUGGAUUUCAGUACAGCUUUCCACCCUCAGACUGACAGGCAGUCAGAGCGCACUAUACAGACUCUUGAGGAUAUGCUUCGAGCUUGUGUGAUAGACUUCCAGGGAGGAUGGUCGCAAUAUCUACCGAUGGCAGAGUUUGCUUAUAACAAUAGUUAUCAAGCAAGCAUCAAGAUGACACCAUUCAAAGCACUCUAUGGAUGGAAGUGUAGAUCGCUAUUUCAUUGGAGUGAAGUUGACGAGAGAUUGGCUUUAGGCCUCGAUGUGCUCCAGGAAGCAGAGGACAAGGUUCGCAUUGCUCGGGAGCGAUUGUUGACAGCCCAGAGUAGGCAAAAGAGUUAUGCUGACAAGCGUCAACGGGACUUGGAGUUUCAGAUUGGAGAUCAUGUCUUCUUGAAAGUCUCGCCGACCAAGGGAAUUAGAAGAUUUGGGAUCCGGGGUAAGUUGAGCCCCUGAUUCAUUGGACCGUAUGAGAUCUUGGAUCGUGUAGGCCCGGUAGCGUAUCGGCUUGCUCUACCGUCGAACCUAUCGGGUGUACACAAUAUUUUUUAUGUAUCGGUCCUUCGAAAGUACAUCCACGAUCCGGCUCACGUUUUGGACGCUACACCAUUGGAGCUGAGGGAUGAUUUGAGCUUUGAGGAGCAACCCAUGAGGAUUUUGGCUCGCGAGGUGAAGAAGCUGCGGAACCGUGACAUUCCGUAUGUGAAGGUGCUUUGGAGCAACCACGAUGCACGCGAGGCCACGUGGGAGUUGGAAACUUGUUUUCUCCUUUUGAUCCAUGAUUUAGUAGAUUUCAUGAGAUGAAACCCCAGAAAUGGAAAUUUAGGGUUUAUAUUGGGAAUUUUUGAUUUUAGGCUUUUGGAUCUCAAUUAAUUGGUUUAGAACCUUUGUUUAGGUCGGAUUUGGAGAGAUCUUACUCUCAUUUGGGAUUUAAAAAGGGUUUUUUACACUAUAGGUGAGUUUUGUCCCUUUUCUUGAGAUGUUUAAUGUUUAAUUUAUGUGUUGUUUGUAACGUUCGUGUAACUCUCCUUUUAUUAUCUUUAGGGUGCUAGGAGAAUAGUGGGCAACUUCGUUCGGCGAAAUGAAAGGGUUGCAAAGAGACUUGGUGGGUUUGGCCUCACCAAAAUGAGAUAAAAUUCUCAUUUGAUGGUUAUACUUGUCGUAAAAUGAAACUUCAUGCAUAUUCAUGCUAGAUAGAAUAUUUAUGAAUUUUAGAAUGCUUAAAAUGCACUUGUCAUGUAUAAUGCAAAUUUGGACCUCUAUGUAGUAGAGAAUUAUUCUUGUUGGAAUCAUUCAUUUUUGUUUAGCAUUCUUAUGUAUGGCUUGGGAUUACAUUGGAAAUGACGAUUGCAAUAUGCUAUUGAAUUUAGAACUCACGUUGAUCUAAGAGAUGACAUAAUGCCAUAAAGGGGCAUUGGAUGUAUAUGAGGUAUGAUAUAGUAAGCUAAUGUUAUAAAGAGGCAUUGGGCUUGACAUAUGUUUGGGCUUAGUAAACCUAAUGUCAUGAAGGGGUAUUAGAUGUAGUAAUUGGUUGAACCUUUACUUUGGAACAUUGAACUAGAAUCUUGGGUUGCUAGUGGCUAUUACCAUGUUAGAGACAUGAUGAUCGGGUUCUUGAGACGAUGACCAUACUUGCUUGCCAUUUGUCCUCAUUCGCACAUGCUUGUGAGGGUCGCUUCCUACAAGCCGACACUUCGGAGUUAGCCUACGUGACUUAUGAUCGCUCGUGCGGUAUUGAGAAGCCUACGGGGCCGGAUGGGAUAGACUCAUUCCUCGAGUGGGAAUGCUGGGGCUACCACGGGCACUUAGGCGGCACAAGCUGGACUACCUUGUGUAAGUCCUUAAUUGGAAAUGAAAAUCGACACGUAGUCAUGCAGUAACAAUCACUACUAGACAGUUCAUAUUAGUUGGAUUUAUUGGGCUUUUGGACAUGUAGUAUACUUGAUAGUAUUGCUUAUUGCAUUAUAGCAUACUUGUUUGCCAUAUUGGAGCAUACUAGUCAUGUAUUGGUUUAUUGGACCAUGAUAGAAUAGAGGUACACCAUGUUGACAUCAUGUAUACUUGUGGCAUUGUAGAUUAGCAUUUCAUUACAUGCUUUUCAUAUUCGCAGCUUACUAGUAGUUUCUUUCAUCUCCUUAUGCUUUUGGGCCUAGUGGUGCAUUUUGCUCAGGUCAGUAAUUGUCCACUGGGAAUUAUAAAUUAUAGUUCUCAUGCCCCUGUUUUAUGUUUUCUUUCAGAGCCUUCCAUUCCAGGAGAGGCUAGGGACCGCGGCAAGGGUGUCGCUUCGAGCUAGCGAGCGCGGAGGUCUUGCUAGAUGGAUCAUUUUCUCCUUUUAUUUUAGUUGGAGAGAAUGAGAGCAUUUUGUAUCCUUCAUAGAGACUACCACUUAUGAUAUUGUAGUACUUGUAUUUGAGACAGUUUGAUGUAUUCACUCUUUGUUUUAUCUUAGUUGUUAGUUUCCUUUCUCUCAACUUGUUGUUAGAAUUUAGCUGCUAUUUGCUCUGAUAUCUCUAGAUACUUGUUUAUUAUUAUCAUUUAUCGCUAUUGUUGUAGACGCCUUAUAUGUGCAGGCAUAUGACGGGUCUGGGCAUGCUACCAGGAGGGCCUCUGCCGCUCCCGGGGCGUGACACGAAGUCCCCGCACAAAGCAAUCAGCUUGAUUUUUGUCAUCCCGUAUCACGUUCGGGACACAAUUCACAAGACGGGAAAACUCCCACUCAUAUUCCCUGACCGAGCGGUCUUCUUGACACAGCUUCCGGAACCUCUCGUGAAGCGCUCUUCUUUCACUGUCGGGGAAAUAAACAGAAAAUAUUAAUCCCCGAAACUCUUCCCAAGCCAUAGGAGGGAGACUAGGCGAUCCGUUUCGCUUGACGUCUUUCCACCAUACCUUCGCCGACUGUUGCAGACAAUGCACGGCUAGGUGUAUCUUGUCCCGCUCCACAGUAUACAGGUCCUGAAAAAAAGUCUCCAUGAAGUCAAUCCACACUCCACGGUCCACGGAUCUACAUCCUCUCUAUCAAAGGUAGGCGGAUCAAAUUGCUUGAAAGUCAUGAGGGCCGCCAAGGCUCGCUCCUUCUCCGCAUCCACCUCUAAAAUACUAGAAGUCGGAUUGCCCAACCCCGACGGAAACGUCUCCGCCGUGACUCUCGGCCGUACUCAACGGGCCGCAACUGGUGCAGUCACCAGCUGAUCCACCGUUUCCUAGAGUCUCAUUAUCCGCUCUUCCUGGCGCAUGGCAGCCUCCUGCUGUCACUACACCAAAUUGGCUUGCCGCUUCGCCACUCCCACGAGUGUGGCCAACUGCUCGCGAAGUUCCAAGUCUCCGCUCGCCUCGGACUGCUCAGGGAUACCACUUGUCCCAUCCCGCAUCGAUCUGGAUGAAGGUCACCUACGUGGUGCCAUCGUUUCCUGAAACACGACAACUCGAUAAAUUCUUGACCUUCUGGGUCGAACACGAAAUAACCAACUAUUAACACCAACUUAAAUCAGGCGAAAGUCAUGCAAAGGCGUCUAUUCUCAUCACUCAGUUUUACGUUGUCGCGCGCCAACAUGAACACACUUAGCUGAGAAUACACCGCACCUUGAGUUUACCUCUAACAUCCGUUUUAGAGGUUUACAACAUAACCCAAUCCAUUAACCUUUCGCCGCAAGUCACAAGUCCUCGUCUCUCACGAGCCUUAACCUCUAUGGUUUACUAUCCUAGAGUCUCCUAGGUCCAUAUAAACCAUUUUCUAUUAUUCUCUUUAUGCUCUGAUACCAUUCAAUCUGUCACACCUCGAGACUCGCCUAUUUGGUAGGAUUCGGGCACGCCAACAGACCGCCGAACGGACAGAGUCUCCCCUGUACGUUCUAGGCAUCACAAUCCAUACAAUUCACGAGGUUCCAACCAAGAACAGAAUUUAAACACAGAUUGCAUAACGAAGGUAUCGAAAAUAUAAAUACAACUAUACUAUUACAAGCAUUCACCACUUUUAAUUUACAUAUUACAUUUUGUUUCUAACUUCCAAAUACAAUCAACAUUAUUACAAGUUUGUCUCAUUCUUUCUAUACCCCUAGCUAGACCACUUGGGAUACUGCUUUCUCUGGUCUCGGUGGUAGGGCGCUAUCUACGGAGCUACGCCCUUUUCUCGCGCCGCUGCGCCGCUCGCGUGUGAACCUGAAAUCCCCCAAAACAACGUAGGGUGAGAACUAUGUCCAUAGUUCCCAAUAGGUACGGCCACCCAAGGGAAAAGUUUGACCCACCAGGUUCAAAAGAGGCACUGCAAUCAAGUUAGUCCAACAGAUAUUUAUGCAAGUAUUAAAUAGAUGCGUAUGCUUCACAAAUGCAACUAUGCAAAUUAUGCAACAAUGCAACAAACUAAGUAGAUCAACCGAUUCUACUUUCUAUCUCGCUAUCCAGCUCAUAUCCAACUAACUUCUAAGGUUUCCUCUACCUUAAAUUAUGUCAUUUACCACUUGCUCUUAAGGUUUCAUCUACCUUAAUCAAGCUAUCCACCCAACUCGGCCUCGAGUCAAUCAUCCGCGGAAUACCGCAUAAAGCCAAGCUCGAGGUAAAGGACGUCUCACAAGCACCUCGGCCUCAAAUCCACCCGACUGUAGGUCCACCACAGGGUGAGGAGAACCGUCGAACCCUGGACCAUAAGUCGCUCAAGCUCAACAAGCGAGGAGAACCAACAUACCCGUUCCGAGCUCAUACCGGGCGAGGAGAAGCAACAUACCCGCAGUUCUGAUUCACUUGCUGUUUGAAUGUAAUAAAAAAAUGGACGUGCUAGAUUUAAAUUUCGAAAUUCAAAUGUGGCUAAGUCGAGUCCAAUUCAAGUCCAGCUUGAAUCCGAACCUAAGCUCGAAAAUAACCCACCCUAAAUUUAUCUGCAUAUUGGUGGACCCCUAUUAUUAUUAUUAUUAUUAUUCUCUCACAUAAAAAAAAAGGGUGGGGUCCACAACAAAAAAAAAGGGGUUAGUUGAGAUGCACAAAUCUCUUUUCAUAUCUCAUACAUAUAUGAAAGAAGUGUGGGGCCCACAAUUAAAAAUAUAUAUACUAAUCCUAUCAUAUCUCCUAUGUGGAGCCCACAAUUCAAAACAAAAAAAUUGGAAAAAAGAUGGUGCACGUGGGGAAAUGCGACAUAAUUAAGAUGCCAUGCUGAACAUGAUUAACUGGUUUCAUGUGGCACCUUAAUGGUUAUAUUUUAUUUAAAUCAUUAAAAUUGAUUUAAACUGACGGUUAAACUUAGUUUAAAUUAAGAUGCCAUUAAUUAGUUUCAUGCUUUAUUUAUUUUUCUCCUUUUUUUUAAAAAAAAAAGAAAGAGAGGAAAAAAAAGAAAACUGUUUACGAGAGAAAAAAGGGGAAAACUAACUACCCACACCCAUCACGUAUAAAAAAAAAAGAGAAAAAAGAGGAAAACUAACUACCCACACCCAUCACGUACAAAAAAAAAGAGAAAAAAGGGAAAAACUAACUACCCACACCCACCACGUACAAAAAAAAAUCGCCCACUUAUCCACUAANAAAAAAGGGGAGAAUUUUUAGAGGUUGUUAGAGAUUGUUGGAGGAUUUUUUAGAAAGGUUGUUAGAAAGAUAAACUACUUUGGCAAAACAAAAAAGAGAGAGAAACAAGGCUCGUUCAAAAAAAAGUACAGAUAUCCAUUCAAAAAAAAAAAAGAAAUAUUUUUUUUUCUUCUCUUCCUCACAAAAUAAUAAUAAUAAUAAUACUCGCGUCCUCCCUCCAUCCCUACAUCAACGGCGGAGCUUCAUCGGCAACCAUAGCGGAGAUGAUGUGAAGCCAACGAUCCUCCGUUUGGCGCUUAGCCGUCGGCGGAAGAGAAGAAUAGCCUCCAUCCAUCUCUACAUCGGCAACAACGGCGGAGCUUCAUUCGCUGGUGCUUAGCCGUCGGCGGAAUUAACGGCGCAUCGAUGACCAUGGCGUUAUUAACGGCGUAUCGACAACAACGGCGGGGCUUCAUUCGUCGGCGCUUAGCCGUCGGCAGAAUUAACGGCGCAUCAACGACCAUGGCGGAAUUAACAGCGUAUCGACAACAACGGCGGAGCUUCAUUCACCGGCGCUUAGCCGUUGGCGGAAUUAACGGCGCAUUGACGACCAUGGCGGAAUUAACGGCGUAUCGACAACAACGGCGGAGCUUCAUUCACCGACGCUUAGCCGUCGGCGGAAUUAACGGUGCAUCGACGACCAUGGCGGAAGUAACAGCGUAUCGACAACAACGACGGAGCUUCAUUACCACGACGGAGACGACGUGAAGCUGACGACUUCCGUUUGGCGCUUAGCCGUCGACGGAAGUAAUGGCGCAUCGAUGACAUCGACGAAAGUAACAGCGCAUCGACAAUAACGAUGGAGCUUCAUUCGCCGGCGCUUAGCCGUCGGCGGAAUUAACGGCACGUCGACAACCACGAUGGAGAUGACGUGAAGCCGACAAUCUUCCAUUUGGCGCUUAGCCGUCGACAGAAUUAACGGCGCAUCGACAACCAUGACGGAGAAGACGUGAAGCCGGCAAUCUUCCGUUUGGCGCUUAGCCGUCGGCAGAAGAGAAGAACGGCCUCCACUCAUCUUCCGCGCAAAAUAACAUGUGUAUUACGUGCACAAGCUCCCUCAUAUGCAUGCAAAUUAAGGAGAUGUACAUUAAUUAUGAUGAAUAGAUAUGUGGCUGCAGCUUGUAUUGAUAAAGUAAUUGCUUUGGUUCUUUGCGGAUUCGGCAAUUAAUUACGAUGUAGCCGCAGCUUGCAUUGAUAAAAUAAUUGCUUUGGUGCUUGAUGGAUUCGGCAAUUAAUUAUGAUGAAGCCGCAGCCUAUAUUGAUAAAGUAAUUGCUUUGGUGCUUGAUGGAUUUGGCAAUUAAUUAUGAUGAAGCCGCAGCCUGUAUUGAUAAAGUAAUUAUUUAGGUGCUUUGCUGAUUCGGCUUAAUUUCCAAGUCUGAUUCUGCUUUGAAGUCUUUCAUGCGACGACGAUUGAGGAUCGAAACUUUUUGUCGUUAAAAAAAAACAAGAGAGACAUAUAUGUACAUAAUCAGUUUAAUUUGGUGAUCGCCAUGAACACUGCGCCGUUGCCGACUAUAUUAAUUAAUGCUCGUAUUGAUAAAUAUUGCAAAAAGGAGGCGAGGAAUUAUUAUUAUUGUUACUCUAAGAUGGGAGGACGGGAAGAAAGAAAAUAUUGUUUAUUUAUGAUUAUUCAUUAUGUUUUGAAUUAAAAUUCAAAACCUUAAAUUAUCUGAUUUUUUGGAACUCUUUUAAAAUACAGAUAUAUACUACGUAUAGUAAUAGUAGUAGUAUGUUAUAUAGUUAUUAUAUAUUAUAUAUGUAGUAUAUAUAUAUAUAGUAUAUAUAUUAUUUAUUUAUUUAUUUAUAUAUACACACACACACACACAAAAGGAGGAUUUAUCUAUGGAUUUGAAACUCAAAUUUAAAACGUGAUUUCAAAGUGUCUUUGAAAUUUUCUGUUGAAAUCUCAAGUUUGAAUAAGUUGUACGGGCCUAAUCUUAACACUGUAAACCCAGUCCAAUUAUAUCUCUGGAUGGGCCAAGUUCAUGUCCAAGACUAAAUAUAAACCCAGCCUAAUUAUAUCUUUGAAUGGGCCUAAUUAAGUUCUUGUCCAAGACCAAAUAGAAACCCAACACAAUUAUAUCUCCGAAUGGGCCCAGAUUCAUGUCCAACACCAAAUAUAAACCCAGCCCAAUUAUAUCUUUGAAUGGGCCUAAGUUCAUGUCCAAGACCAAAUAGAAACCCAACACAAUUAUAUCUUCGAAUGGGCCCAAGUUCAUGUCCAACACCAAAUAUAAACCCAGCCCAAUUAUAUCUCCGAAUGGGCCCAAGUUCAUGUCCAACACCAAAUAUAAACCCAGCCCAAUUAUAUCUCCGAAUGGGCCUAAGUUCAUGUCCAAGGCCAAAUAUAAACUCAGCCUAAUUAUAUCUCCGAAUGAGCCCAAGUUCAUGUCCAAGACUAAAUAUAAACCCAACCCAAUUAUUUAAUUCGGAUUGAUCCAAGCUGAACCCAAUCUUUAAUUCCAAUCCAAUCCAAAUUUGACAAGCCAUAUAUGAAACCUAUACCAUAAUAACCAAAUCAAAGUCCAAACCUAACCUCAAACCCAAGUCAUGCACAACCUAAUCCAACCUCCAUACCGGGUCCUUAGAAACAAACUAUUCCAAUCACAACCAUAUUCAAACUCGAUCAAAUUCUAAAUAUAUGCUUAGAAUUGAUCAAACCAUCUUUUUAUCUUAGUAUAUAUGACUAAGGUAAAAAUAAUGAAUUAGGUUUCACCUAAUCAAAUUAAAUCGAUUGGACUCUAAUUCAUAUACUUAGAGUUCAAGCAAAGAAAACCAAGUUAGACUCUAAUAUGUAUAAUUAGAGUUUAAUUUAAAUCAAUUUUGGCUAAUCCUAAUACAUAUAUUUAGUAUUUAGCCAUCCUUCACCUUAGAGUGAACUCAAAUAUAGUUUGACUCUAAUAUACAUACUUAGAGUUCAAUUAAAUUAAUUAGACUCUAAUAUGUAUAAUUAAAAAAAAAGAGAAACAAAAAAAAGCAUAAAAAAAAAAGAGAAAAGAAGAACAAAAAAAAAAGAAGAAAAUCUUUUGUUCAUCCUCCCUUUACUCCUACGCGCCAGCAGCAACAAAGGGAGGUGUGCAUGUGACCACACCCCCUCUCCAAUCCGUACACCAAAAAAAAAAGGGGGCUUUGACUCUAACGACAAUGCGACGGCGACGACUUCGAUGAUGGCGCGACAACGACGACUUCGACAACGACAAUCACAACGAUUUCUACAAUAAUAGGAGAUACGCAUGCAUAUGUAUAGCGUAAGGGCGAUUUUUUUUGUUGGUUUGAUCAACCCAACCAUCUUCGUGAUAGGUUUCGAACCAAUCAAAUCUGACAUCAAAUCGUCACUUCCGCCGUGCGUAUGUAUUGUUAAUCUCCAAACCGUGCGGCCAUCUUCGUGAUAGGCUCGACAUGGUCAAAAUGGAUGAUCUAGCACCAUUUAUUUUGUUACGAAAACCGUGCGGCCAUCUUCGUGAUAGGCUCGACAUGGUCGAAAGCGUAAACCGUGCGGCCAUCUUCGUGAUAGGCUCGACAUGGUCAAAAGAAUUAAUCGAGCGGCCAUCUUCGUGAUAGGCUCGACACGAUUAAACUCCGCGUACUUGAACAAAACGUGGUUAAAAAUGAUAAUAAAAAAUGGACGAGUACGGUUGUUGUUCGCCAUCUUCGCGAUAAGCACCGUCAUCUUCGUAUUGCUCGACGUGAUCAAUGUUGUAUAUUUGGACUAAAAAAAAAAGAAGAUAAAUAAACAAAACAAAAAAAGAAGAAAACAAAAAUAAAGGUUGGGUUUCCAACACUCUCUCCCCCUCUGACAGUCGACAAAAAAAGAGAAAGGAUAAAAAAAAAAAAGGAAAGAAAAGUUGCUGGUAGUACCCCUCUCUCCCUCGGUUUCGUGCACACAGUCACACACAGAGAAAGGGAGGGAAAAAAAAAAAAAGAAGAGAGUUUUUAUUUCUCUCGGUCACAAAAAAAAAAGAAAGGAAAAAAAAAAGAAAAAAAAAAAGAAAGAAAGAACACAAGAACAAAAUUUGAAGUAUUGGGUUUGAAUUAUUUUGAAAAGGCUUCAACUCAUCAUGGGCCUAAUGAAGAAACUCUAUAAGCAAAAAAAUUCGGGCCCACAACCUGUAGAGCCCGAAAUCCAGCCCACAUACAUACCCGGGUCUAAGGUCCAGAACAUUAAAGCCCGAGACUAGUCUCAGCCCCUAUGCAGAUUUGGGCCCAGACCAUGUAAAGUCCAAGACUGAUUUCAGUCCACAUGCAGAUUCAGGUCCAAGGCCCAAAACAUGUAAAGCCCGAAAUCCAGCCUGUAUGCAGAUUUGGAUUCAAAACCAAUAAUAAAAAAAAAAAAACCCAGCCCGCAUACAGAUUCGGGUCCAGAAUAUUAAAGCCCGAAACCUGUCUCAGCCCACAUGCAGAGUUGGGCUCAGAACAAACAAAAUCCCAAAAAUCUCAUAGUCCACAAAUAAAAUCACAAAGAUUCCAAAGUCCACAAAUAAAAUCCCAAAAAUCGCAAAGCCACAAAUAAAAAUCCCAAGAAUCCAAAAUCCCACAAAUAAAAUCACAAAAAUCCAAAGCCCACAAACAAAAUCCCAAAAAUCCAAAAUCCACAAAUAAAGAUCCAAAAUCCAGAGAUCCAAAAUCCAAAGUCCAUAAAUAAAACCCAAUCAAAUCUACCAAACCUAUGUUAUCUAAAUACCUCCAACCCAAGUCGAAUUCAUGGGCUUUCCAAAUGGGGCCUUUAUUAUGAAUUAAUUCUAUGAAUUAGGUUCCUGGGUUUUCCAAAGGCCCCUCUAUCAUGAAUUAAUUCGACAAAUUAAUUUUAUUGGUUUGCCAAAUAGGCCCUUUAUCACAGAUUAAUUCUAUGAAUUAAUUUCAUGGGCCCUCCUUGUCAUAGAUUAAUUUCAUGAAUUAAUGGGCCCUCCAAAUGACUCCUUAUCAUAAAUUAAUUCAAUGGGCUCUCCAAAUGGCCCCUAUCAUGAAUUAAUUUCAUCAAUUAAUUCAAUGGACGUUACAAACGGGCUCCUAGCAUGAAUUAAUUUCAUGAAUCAGCUUCAUGAACAUCUCGAUUUCAAACGACGAAACGUCGCUAAACUAAACCCAAAUUUCAAACGACCGAAACGUCGCUAAACUAAACCCAAAUUUCAAACGACCGUAACGUCGCUAAACUAAACCCAAAUUUCAAACGACCGAAACGUCGCUAAACUAAACCCAAAUUUCAAACGUCCGAAACGUCGAUAAACUAAACCCAAAUUUCAAACGACCGAAACGUCGAUAAACUAAACCCAAAUUUCAAACGACCGAAAAGUCGUUAAACUAAAUCCAAAUUUCAAACGACCGAAAAGUCGUUAAACUAAACCCAAAUNNNNNNNNNNNNNNNNNNNNNNNNNNNNNNNNNNNNNNNNNNNNNNNNNNNNNNNNNNNNNNNNNNNNNNNNNNNNNNNNNNNNNNNNNNNNNNNNNNNNNNNNNNNNNNNNNNNNNNNNNNNNNNNNNNNNNNNNNNNNNNNNNNNNNNNNNNNNNNNNNNNNNNNNNNNNNNNNNNNNNNNNNNNNNNNNNNNNNNNNNNNNNNNNNNNNNNNNNNNNNNNNNNNNNNNNNNNNNNNNNNNNNNNNNNNNNNNNNNNNNNNNNNNNNNNNNNNNNNNNNNNNNNNNNNNNNNNNNNNNNNNNNNNNNNNNNNNNNNNNNNNNNNNNNNNNNNNNNNNNNNNNNNNNNNNNNNNNNNNNNNNNNNNNNNNNNNNNNNNNNNNNNNNNNNNNNNNNNNNNNNNNNNNNNNNNNNNNNNNNNNNNNNNNNNNNNNNNNNNNNNNNNNNNNNNNNNNNNNNNNNNNNNNNNNNNNNNNNNNNNNNNNNNNNNNNNNNNNNNNNNNNNNNNNNNNNNNNNNNNNNNNNNNNNNNNNNNNNNNNNNNNNNNNNNNNNNNNNNNNNNNNNNNNNNNNNNNNNNNNNNNNNNNNNNNNNNNNNNNNNNNNNNNNNNNNNNNNNNNNNNNNNNNNNNNNNNNNNNNNNNNNNNNNNNNNNNNNNNNNNNNNNNNNNNNNNNNNNNNNNNNNNNNNNNNNNNNNNNNNNNNNNNNNNNNNNNNNNNNNNNNNNNNNNNNNNNNNNNNNNNNNNNNCUUCAUUCUAGCACAUAUAACUAGAGUGAAACUCGGUUAAUCCUGAUACAUAUACUCAGGAAUUAGCCACUCCCUACUUUCGGGUAAUUCGACCCACCUCAAUACAUAUACUUGAGGUCUGGGCAUAUCUCCAUCUUGGAACAUAUAACCAAGGUGGACAUAAUCGGACUCUAAGACAUAUACUUAGAGCCAAUUAGACUCUAAUACAUAGAGUCUAAGAUCAACUAGGUCUUAACACAUAUACUUAGGAUCUAGUCAAUCUCAAAUCCAACUGAAUCCUAAUACAUAUACUUAGGAUUCAAUAAAUCAAAACUUCUUCGCUAGAUUGGACAUUUAGUCUGAUAAAAUUCAUGUACAGUGGGGGUAUGCCCCUGCUUAAGCCAUGUAAAUGGCAAAUCAUAUCGAUAAAAUUUUAUUUGCCUAUUUUGUCUCUUUUAUUAUCAGCAUUUAUAUUUGGUCUCUUAAUCGAGGGUUUCUUAACACCGAAAGUGUGGGGUAAUUAACAACAGAUUCUUGAGUCUGUUGGAAGCCAUGAACCUAUAAUCCUGAUUUUAAAAUAAAAUAUAAAUAAAUUUUAUCUCUACCAUGUAUGACCACUCGUCCUAGAAACAACCUACGGCGGGGCCGGUUCGUUCGCGGCAGACAGCGUGCAUCUGAUUGAGCGGCUUGGAGUCAUCUGCACGCGUCUAAGCCAAUUCGGCCCUUUGGCUUAACGAGCUUGCUCUUUAGCAAGCCACUUUUUCAUAUUUAGCCAUUCUGCUUCUUUUCUUGAUUUGUUUGGUUAUGACAUCUUCUACAUCAAUUUUCACAACUAGAUAUCAAAUUAUCUAGUUCUAAUUACUAGGGGUGGUCGGUGUCUCUACAACUUUUAUUUGAUCCUCUAGACUUGACAAAUUAUAUUGAUGAUACUAGGCCUCCUGCUGAUGAGAAGAAACUCAAAGAGUUGAGUAUUGUUGACAGACAUACUCGUGGAAAUAUCCAUAUCCGUAAGCCACCGUUCACCAAAAACCUCACAUUCUUCCAUAGGUCAUCUCUUCUUUCGCAUGGAUUUUUUGGUUUUGCUCAACUCUUUCUGUUGCUGCCUAGUGCCGCUCUGCUCCUGUUGCUGCCCAGUGCUACUUGGCUCUUGCUGACCCUGGGUGCCACUCGGCUCUUCAUACUGACGCCUCGUGCCGCUUGGCUCUUCAUGUUGUCGCCCGGUGCUGCUCGACUUUUCUUGCUGUCUUCUAGUGUUGCUCGGCUCAUCCUGCUAAUGCUUGAUGCCACUCGCUCUUCCUGUUGUUUUCUGGUACCACUCGGCUCUUCCUGCUAAUGCAUGGUGCAGCUCGGCUCCCUAUUGUUGUCUGAUGCUGCUCGGCUUUUCCUGCUGUCUCUUGAUGUCGAUCGGUUCAUGAGCUACAUUCUAAUCUCUUGCAAUCAACAUCACUAUAAACUUUCAUUCUUUUCCAUGCUUGAAAGGCAAAAAAAAAUGUAUGUUAUUUAAUUUUAUGUUUUGAAGUAAAUAUUUAAAAUUUUUGAAUUUUAAAAGGCAGAAACAAAGAAAACAAAGCUUAACUAACUAAUACUAUGAUUUAAAAUAAUUACAUGUUGAUUACUUUACUAACCUAAAAUUUAGGAAUCAAGUACUAUAUUGGUUGCAUCUCUAGCAAUAAAAGUUAAUGAGGGCUUCUCUUCACCGUCGACAGCGACAAUGGCAGUGCUAUUGCCAACGCUACUAAGGAUAGUGCUUUCACUUUGAUUAAGUUUUUUACAUUUUUCAAUGGUAAAUUCUGUGUUGAUGAUGAUAGAAAAAUAUUACUUACCUUUCUUAAUAUUAAAUCAUGAGCUUUUCUUUUUUUAACUAGCUUAUUCAUUUUUAUGAUUUGGUUUAGAUUUUUUCAGCAAGAAAAGUAAGAACCAUUAUUUUAGUUCCAUUCUUUACUUUUAAAUUAUUCAACAUAGAGAUAUAAGUUCUACUCGAUUUAUCUAUUACACAUUUGAAUUAUCAUUGUAAGUUAAUCUAUACAAAACUAUUAAUUCCUGUGGCUUCUAACCAACGUGGCAGAAUUCUGUUGAAUUUGGGCCCACAUAGCUUUCAGUGUUAUUAUCACCUCCUCCAUCCUUGCUAUUGAAUAUUAGGCCCCCCUCUAUCAGAUACUUCCUCUCAUGUAUCCGGUUUAUCUCCCAGUGUUGUCUCUUCACCUUUCCAUUUACCUUCUCAUUUAAUAGACUAAUCCUUUCAUCUUCCAUUUACCUUUCGAUUUAAUCAAAUAAUCUCCCCACCUUCCUAUUUAAUAAAGUAAUAGCAUUUAUCUUUCCAUUUAAUAGAGUAAUCUCCUCACUUUUUCAUUUAAUAGAGUAAUAGUGGAGAAAACGAGAACGCCAUGCCUUUCAACAGGCAUCCUUCCAAUUUACCUUCUUCUUUCCCAAAGUCUAGAACUGUACCGUUUACUCUCCUAAUGCCAUGGGCAUAAUCGAUGAAGCCCUUCGACCCCCCUCCAUUACAUCAUACACGUCGUCGAUAAGGUAGGUGAUGGUAUCGGUGUUGUCGACUUCCACCCCUCUCCAAAUCUCUCUCUCUCUCUCUCUCUCUCUCUCUCUCUCUCUCUCUAUAUAUAUAUAUAUAUAUAUAGGCUGGGAAUACUAUACUCUUAUGAGUAUAGACCCUCUUGUACUCAUAAAUUUUUAACCGUUGAUUGAUGGGAUGUGUGGUUAGGAUGAUGGUGGUCUCCACUUAAAAUGAUAGUGGUCCCCUAGGGUUGAGUGGGUAGUUGGUUAAAGAGUAUGAUCUAAUGGAUGAAAAUGAUUAAUGGAAUAAAUCUAAGGGUCGAAAACUUAUGAGUAUAAAGGAGCCAAUACUCAUAAAAGUAUAGUAGCUGGACUCUAUAUAUAUAUAUAUAUAUAUAUUAAAGUACAAUAAAAGUUGUUGUUUAUUAUAUUCUUCAUGUGCGAAUCUUUUUAAUGAGAUAAUUAUAAAAAUGCUUUAAACAAUUGUGGCUAUGAUGUUUACUCCACAUAUUGCAUCUUCCUCUUUUCUUUUCUUUUUUUUUUUUCCUUAGUUUACUUUCUUGGCAUUCGUUGCUUUUUUCUAUUCAUAUUAUGUGUCCAUUUAAAUCAUGUAUAUUAAAAUUAUUUUUAAGUAUAAUUCUCUAUAUUAAUUAUUAUAGUCAAUAUUGAUUUGUUGAUAUUUUAUUUUCUAUUAAUAUUUUAUUUUUAAUUAUAUUGGUAUUUUAUUAUUUAUUAAUUUUAAUUUUAAUAGUAUUUAUCCGCCGCAAAGCGCGGGUCACUUCACUAGUUAUAAUUUAAUUAGAAAUCUAACCAAAUUGUAAUAAAAUAUUUCAAUUUUGGCUAAGCACACCAACUGGGAUGUUUUUCUUUUUUAAGAAAUGAACAUGCAUUGUGGAGAAUAUUUUCUUGCUUACUGCUAUCUACAGGUGCUGCUACAGAAGCUUACAUGGAUAGUCAAAUAUAUGCUUUCUUGAUGAAGAAAUAGAGAAUAAAAAUUAAGGUUUGAUUUCUUCAACCAAUGUAAGAAAAUAAAAAUGAAUAUUAUAUAUUAGAAGUUUAGAUGCUUCCAAUUUUUGCUGACAUAUUGUGUUCCUUUUCUUUGCUGCUAUUAACCUAUAAGAGAAUAAUAUCGUUGAAGCUUUGAAGCUACCAACUUUUACUGAUAUAAUUUAUUUUUCUCUUCUCUAUUAUUAAUGCAAACCAUGUCAUUUCCAGAAUGGUUAUUAUCUUGAUUAUAAAAUGCAUAACAAGCCUGUCGUCAAACUCUAAUCCAAACUCUUUAAUAGAAAAUGCAUUUAGAAAAUCUAUUCUUCUUGCAUUAAAGGAGUUAGAAUUACUUACAGAUCGCCACAUGUCAUCAUGCAAAAGUAUUCACUGUGCAUGCACGCAGAUCUUUCGAUUUCAAUAUUAAACUUUUAAUGUAUGAAAAAAGUAUUAAUUAUUAUAUUAAGAGGUAUUAAUUAUGACAAGAUAGGGCAUUAAAUAAAUAUCCAUUCUACUUACAAAUUGUACUCUAUACCCAAUCUACUCUCUAUCCAUUCACAUUUUUCUCUUUCUAAACCUCCACCACAUGCAUUUUCGUCCUCCCUAACAACUUCAACCUCCUUUUUCUCUUCCCCCCUUCCUCUCUCCCCACCCCACCUGCCUCUCUCUCUACAUGGACUGACGUCAAAAUUCUCUCGCUCUCUCUCUCCCCUAUCCCCUCUCUCAUGUGGCUUUGUAUGAUUCUGUGCACUCCUCACCUAUUCCGCACGCAGGAGAGAUGUAUCAUUAAUUUUGACAGAAGUUAGCAUAUUUGCUCCUUUUUUUCCUCUUUGCUUUGCUCUUCUACAUUCACUGGAACAAAAGUUCGUGAUUCACACCCCUCUGUUUCUCUUCGCUUUGCUCUUCUGUGUUUGCUGGAAAUCUUUUUGACGCUUACUAGAACUAGAGGUGCUGACAAUUAUUUUUUUUUUUUCCAGUUUUCUUUGGUACAAGAAAAUAGACAUUUUGUGGCAAACCUAAUGGCCACAAAAACAAACAAAUUCGCCACAAAAGGUCUUUUGUGGCCACAUUAGUUUCACCGCAGCUUUGCCGCAAUAGGACCACUACAAAAGGUUAUUAUGUCCAAAACAAAUAUUUGCCACAAAAUGUUCUAUGAAUUUGCGGCGAUAUAUUUCGCCACAAAACUUCUAACAUCCGCCAAAUCAGUUACCAUAUGGCUAAAGAUAUUGACGAAAAUAAUAAUAAAAUACCAAACUUUUUGUGUGAAAAUUUUUUUUGGCCACAAAUAGCAUCAUAUGAUUUAUGGCAAAUUUUUACACUACUACAGAUAUAGUUGAAUUUAUAUAUUGUGACAAAAUUUAUUUGUCGGCCACACAUAAUGCCACACAUUUUGGGGCAAAAUUUAAAUCGGCCACAAUUUGGGUUGAAAUUAUAGAGGUGAAAUUAAGUAGUUGGCAAUAAAUAGUGUCGUACUUAUUAUGGCAAAAUUAUAUAUGGCUACAAAUAAUAUUAUACUUUCUAUAGCAAAAUUUGGUUUUGGCCAUAAAUAAUUCACUAUAUUUUGUGAACAAAUGUUGUUUCGGUCACUGUUUCAAUAUAUAUAUAUAUAUAUAUAUAUAACAUACAUAUUGCGGUUGUUCAUUAUUUUGUCAUAGAAAGUAUAAUAUUAUAUUCGUGAGUAGACAUUUUAGCUCUUAAAUUUUUUUUUUUAGAGAUUAUCACCGUAUCACAAGAACUGAAUACUACUCAACCAGAAUUUAAACAUAAUAUCAAUCACAACAUUCAAGAUAUAUUCGCCAUAAUACAAAAGGCGAUUAUAUGUUCAAGUGCCACAACCAAAAUAAGGUAACAGUUAAUUGUUUACAUCAAGUAUAAUUUGUACCAAACCACAUAAGUUUUUCAAUCUCAUCAAAAUCACAUCUCAUAUUAGUAACUUUUUAGAAUAAUGAUAAUAAAAACUCUAAGUUAAGAGCGAAAAGAAGUGCUUGAGAUGAUCCAACUCGAAAAUAUUGAGCAUCUAAGGCUUAGUCCUGUAGAAUAAAAAAGAAUAGUGAUAAGAAUAGUGCAUAUUAUCUAUUUACUUCAUCAACAAGUAAAAGAUAUUGCUAAUUUAUACCUCACGCAUACUAAAUUAAAUAUAGUGUAAGCUGAAAUAUUUAAUCUUAAUUCAUUUCACUUAUUUUAAUUGAAUUUAUACUAACUUACAUUUCCUGUCGACGCUGGCUGAAUAGGCAUAGGCAAUCUUAUUUGUGAAAGCUAUUCCAUCAUGCUACGCAUUCUGAGAAUGCAUCUCAGCACGCAUCUGUGCUUGCAUUUCAGCAAUUCGUGCCUCAGCUUCUCUCUCCCUUUGGCUCAUCCGCUUCUCCACCUCAACUUGAAUUCAUGUUGCCAUUUCUUGUUCCAUCUCUGCUCAUAAUUGUGCACGAAUUCUUUGUCCUCUAGGACCACCACUUUUCAAAGGAAUAGGACCUCGACCCAUACCACGAAUGUAGUUAGAUCGAUGACUAAUUGCUAAUGUAUAUGCUUGCCCAUAGAGAGAGUGUAUUUUCCGUACUGUUUUAAUUGGUCAUCAUGAAGUUCUUCCAUCCGCUUAUAUGCAUCUUCAACAUCUUUAUCAAUCCAAUUGCCUUCUCUCUUCCUCACCUUUUCCUAUAGCCUUAUAUAUUCAAACUUUUCUUCUCUCUCUGGUAUUUUCUCCCGUGUUAAGUUUUCUGUAGGAUUCCUCUGUUAAGUCACAUAGAAGAUAUUUUAGAUAAUAAUUAAAAUUCAAAAAUAAGAAUGAGAGAUUAUCUCCAAUGUAAAAUUAAUAAGCUAUUAGAUAAAAAGAAGAAAUUACCAUAUGAUGUAUGUUUCUAGCAAUCGACAUUGUACCCAUACGAGCAACCAUAGUUUGCUUGACUCUGUUUGCUUGGUUUGCCUUACUAAUACGCUAUCAAUUAAAAAAAAUAGUUUAGUAAAUCAUAUUUAUAUAUGUAAUAAAAAUUUUUAGAAAAGACUAAAAAUCUAUCUUAUUUUAAAUUUUGGAUCGUUCCAAUAGUUAAUAAGCCAUUCCAAUCCUCUUGAUCAAUGUCCUCUGGGCAAUGAGCUCGUCUUUGUUCAUCUGUUUUAUACCUUUUUGUAAUGAAAUUUAUACAAGUGAUAACGCCAUGCAUUGAAGUGAUCAUGAACUUGUUAAAGAAAUCACUUUAUGGCUUAAAGCAAUCUUCUCGGCAAUAGUACAAGCGGUUCGACUCUUUCAUGAUAGGUCAUGGAUAUUCUAGAAGCAAGCAUGACAGUUGUGUGUACUUCAGAAAGCUUGAUAAUGGAUUUUUCAUAUAUUUGUUGCUCUAUGUCAAUGAUAUGUUAAUUGCUUCCAGUGUCGACAUAGUUGAGAUAAAUAAAUUGAAAACUUUACUUAAGAAAGCUUGAUAAUGGAUUUUUCAUAUAUUUGUUGCUCUAUGUCAAUGAUAUGUUAAUUGCUUCCAGUGUCGACAUAGUUGAGAUAAAUAAAUUGAAAACUUUACUUAAGAGUGAGUUUGAGAUGAAGAUCUAGAUACUGCUAAGAAAAUCCUUGGUAUAAAAAUUAAGAGGGACAACAAGUUAGGGCUACUGCAUUUGACAUAGGAGAAAUAUAUGGAGAAAAUUUUAAAGCGUUUUAGGAUGACAGAUUCAAAACCGGUGAGCGCUCCUUUUGUGGCGCAUUUUAGACUUUCCGCCCAGUUAUCACCACAAUCAGAUGAUGAGCCGAAGUACAUGUCACAUAUUUUCUAUUCUAGUGUUGUCAGGAGCAUAAUAUACACUAUGAUUUGCACACGGCCAGACAUCUCCUACGCAGUGAGCAUGGUUAGCAAAUAUAUGACUAAUCUUGGUAAGGCUCAUUUGCAGGUUGUUAAGUAGAUUUUGAGAUACUUACGAGGUACCACUAGCACUUGUUUGGAGUUUGGGAGGUGUAAGGAUCGAUGGUGUGGUUGGAUAUGUUGAUUUAUAUUUUGCAGAGAUUUGGACAGGAAAAAAUCACUUUCAGGUUAUGUAUUCUCCAUUGGUGGAUGUGCAGUUAGUUGGAAAGCUUCACUACAACCUAUUGUCGCCUUGUCUACGACUGAGCGGAAUAUAUUGCUAUAACAAAGGGUGUGAAGGAAGCUAUGUGGUUAAGAGGCUUAUUUGGAGAGCUUACUUCUUGUCGGGAUCCGACGAUUGUUUUUUCAGACAGUCAAAGUGUUAUUCAUUUGUCUAAGGAUCAGAUGUUUCAUGAGAGGACAAAGCACAUCAAUGUAAAGUUUCAAUUUGUUCGGGAUGUGAUUGGGAAGCGCAUAGUGUGUUACGCCCCGUGCCCCGCCUAUUUGGUCGGGUUCGGGCACGCCAACAGACCGUCGAACGGACAGAGUUUCCCCUGUACGUUCUAGGCGUCGCAAUCAAUACAAUGUACGAGGUUCCAACUAGGAACAAUAUUCAAGCAGAGAUUGCAUAAGGAAGUAUCAAAAACACAAACAACUAGCUAUUACAAGCAUUCACCAGCUUACAUUUUUACAUCACAGUUUCUUUUACAUUCAACUUCCAAAUUACAAUCUAGUUAUUACAAUUAUUACAAGUUUGAUACAUUUGCAUUCUUUUCACUGUCUAUACCCCUAGCUAGCCGAUUGGGGUACUUCUAUCUCUGGUCUCUGGGGUAGGGCGCUAACUACGGAGCUACGCCCUUUCCUCGCGCCGCCGCGCCGCUCACGUGUGUACCUGUAACACCCCAAAACAACAUGGGGUGAGAACCAAGUCCAUGAUUCCCAGUGGGUACGGCCACCCAAGGGAAAAGCUCAACCAAUAGGUCUAACGAGGCACUGCAACAAGUUAGUCCAAAAAUAUACAACAGAUAUUUAUACAUAUACUCGAUAUUGAACUACAUGUCAUGCCUCACAAUAUGCAAUAUGAAAUCAUGCAACUAUCAAGGUAGAUUAAUUAAUUCUACUCAUAAUUCUUAGCCAUUCAUUGUUCUUUGCUAAUCUUUAUUCUUAGCACUCUUUACUAUUUGCUAUUCUUUAUCAUUAGCCGAUCUCUAUCCUUUAUUCUCUAUUCUUUAUCCUCUACUAACAGUACUCAUACCAUGGUCAUAUUAUACACAAUUGCCACUCUCUCCUAAGGUUACUUUACCUCAGCCAACUAUGCCACUCGACUCGGUCUUGAGUCAAUCAACUGCGGAUAAUCCGCGCUCAGUCAAGCUCGAGGCGAAGGACGUCUCACAUGCACCUCAGCCUUAAAUCCUCUCGACUAUAGGUCUACUCACAGGGUGAGGAUAUCUCUCGAACCUCGGACCACAAGUCGCUCAAUGGACCUACGGGCGAGGAGAACCACACGUACCCGUGUCCCCAAACUUAUACUCAAACCGGGCGAGGAGAACCACACAUACCCGAUGAGUCACUGCCAGGCGAGGAGAACCACACGUACCUACAGUUGCGAUUCACUUGCGCUCAGACGUAAGGCUCAUCCGCUGCACUAGCAGCCGCUGCACUAGCAGCACUCAUUCCUAGGGAUUCCAGAAUCCACAUUCAUAACUCUAGGGUUGGUCUUAAACCCUAUAAUGUUGACCUAUCUAGGUCCCAAUGUCCUUUCCAUCCUAGGUCUACUUGACUCUAGGUUCAUUAUCUUUAUCUCACAACCUAGGUUUACUUUUAACUCUAGGUUCAACCCUCACCUAUGUUCUCUAACAUUAGGUUUGAUGCCACUCUUGUUCGACCUAUGUUUAUUAACACUAGGUAUCAUUCUUGUUCAACCUAGGUUCACGACUCUAGGUUCAAUGCCACUCGACCUAUGUGUAUAUGUAUAUGUCCACAAGUACAUAUCCUUUACUCAGCAUUUUUGCAUUAGCAUCUCUACAACAUGCUUAUCAUACAUUUUCUUUAGCAUUCUUAUUUCAUAUCAAUAUGCAUUCACUUAGCAUUCCUAUAUUAGCAUUUCUAUACAUGCAACAUGACUAAAAUAUGUCAUUUACUUUAUGCUUUCCACUUAGCAUUAUUUACACUAUGUCACUAUGCAUUACUUAGCAUUCUCACAUUAUUUGGUAGCCUAACAUAGCAUUUCACCUUAUGCAUUUAUGUGUUCUACCACUAGCUAUCAUUACAUGCAUCAAUAGUAAGCACUAAUCUUAGACAUACAGGCGACCUAGUUGCUUUGGUAAACACAACCCACCUCAAAACAUGUUCUGAUUGCUUGUAGUUGCUUGCAAUUGGCCUCCCGCGGCACCCGUGACUCGGUUUGGCCCGAACUCUUGCGCGACCACCCGAACGGCCACCAAUCUCAAAUCCGGAAAUUGUUCGAUACUUAUCUUGAUACCAAGUUGCUCCGGAUCCGUUUUCGUGAUUUUUGGACGCUUAUUCCGCAUGCUGCGGCUAUCUGUACCAAAAUCGACCUUUUCGACAAUAACUCGCGUAGGCUUUUCGUUUCACCGAACCGAGCGAACCAACGUGUCGGAAAUACCCCCAAUUAGGUUUCCAAGAGGUCAAUUUACCUCGGAAACACUCGAAGGCAAAAGCCCCAAAUUUGGUGCCCUAAUAAUGCUAUAAUCAAACCUCUUCGGAUUGAUCUUUAGAACAAGCAAAAGAGGGCUUGUUCAACAUCUAGAAACUCAUCUAGAAGUAUUCGAACCAUUCUUAGGGUGUUUAGAGCAAACCCUAGAGUUUCGCCAUUAGAGCACUACGAAGAAAACAUGGCUUUCAUGUGUUCUUCGGCUACUACAAGGUUCUAAAGCUUGCAAGGAGAUCAAAUCUCUAGAUCUAGGGUUUAAAAACCAAACCCUAACCUUAAUCUUAUAAGAAACCAUUAUCACUUCAAGAAUCUUACCUUCCAAGCUCCUUCAAUGGCCCAAGAAGAAGAUGGAAGCGAUGAAGAUCUCCCUCCAAGCUCCUUCUCCUUCCUUUCCUUCUCUUUUCUUCUUUUUUCUUCUUUCUCUUUUCCUUCUCCUUUGCUCAUGGUUGAGAAAGGGAGAGAGACACGAGAGAGGGAGAGAGAUGGCUGCUGCAGUGAAAGGAGGGGUUGGGGUGUUUUUAUAUAUUGCAAUAAUAGCAACAAAGCCCCCCAAACAAUCAUAUUUGCAAUAGAUCAAUUCUGUGCUGUUCUGCCAAAGUGUACCGGUACACUUUCCCGUGUCACCGGUUCCACGACCACGCAGCGGCAAACCCGAGAGCAGAUCUCUCAUUUUCACCCGAAAUGUACCGGUACACUUUGAUGUGUCAUCGGUUUCACAUGCUGAAACCGGUGACAGGUCGCUUGCUGUACCGGUACACUUGCUCCAGACUUGGGUUUUGACUUCGACUCGACUCUAUUUCGCUCCGGUCGAUGCUAGAACCUUUCUAACACUUUUAGAACUCACUUUUAACUCUUCCAAGCUAACAUACACCGCAACUUCAUAACUUUAGAAGUUCGGUAUGUUACAUAGUGACUAUUAGGAAAAUUGGUACUGAGGACAAUCCAGCAGAUACGCUGAGUAAGCUCUUACUAUUGCUAAGUUCAAGCAUUGUUUGGACUUAAUAGUGGUUGGCAGCACUUGAGGCCCUAUGGGGCGUUUGGAGAAGAUGGAGCACAGAGCAGUCACGAGCAUUAAGAACCAUUGAGAAAAAGAAAAUUUAAGUCAAGGUGGAGUUUUAUGACGAUCUCGACAUAGCGACUAAACUAUAAAUUAAACUAAGAUCAUGAUUAUUAAAUUUGGUUUAAAUUUGUAGUUAUAUAAUUUAGAUUUAAUUUGGUUAGAUUAUGAGUAGGAGUCUAAUUCUAAUUGAAUUCGAAUUAGACUUGUAUUUAGAAGUCCAAUUAGAUUAGAGUUCUAAUUAGAUACAAUAUUAACAAGUAAUGUUGUUAUAUUUUUGUAUUGUAGCAUGUUGGAUGUAACCUCUCCUUAUGCAAAUUCUUCUACAUCUCCAGAAUAUACAGUCUCAACACCACCAACGUAAAAAAUCUUCAAGUAAUUCUAUUUGCAAAUUCUACCAUCUCACAAUUAGAUUCUUUUCUUCUUUUUUUUUUGCCUUUCGUUCAUGCAAACUAAUGUUUAUUCAUUUUCCUUUUCUUUGUUUCCAUGAAGCAGCAAUCCCACAAGCACAAAUUAGCAAUUUGUACAUAUACAGUUCUAAACUGAAGGGAUACAGAACUAAGUGUGCUUUUCGUAUCAAUGUAGAAUUUUAUAUAUGUACAAGAAUAUGAAUCUACACAGCUACAAACUAUCUUUUUGAGUGCUUUUUGUUACUGGCACUUUGUAUAUGUAUAGGGACAUAAAUCUAUACAACCGCAAACUAUGGUUUUGAUCUCCUUCUUUUGACAAACUACUUUUUACACAUAAUUCUUUCUUUCUCCUUUCAGGCAAAAGUGUUUCUUAUUUUAAUAAAAUUAUCUAAUAUUUAGCUAAAAUAUACAAUUGUGUUGUACAUUAAGUGCUAUUAAUUAAAUUUAACUUACGCAGCAAUGCGCGGGUCUUUUAUUAGUAUAUACUAUGUUUCAACUUUCCCCAGCUCUUGCCUAGCACUUAUUUAUUUAUUUUCACUAAAAUUACAACAACCUGUUCAAUUCUCAUGUGUUGUGUUUAUUCAUUGUCCAAGUCAAAACUCUUUUUGACUACAGUGCAACACAAAGUAAAUAUUAGUGUAGAUAGAUAAAGCCACAUAGAUAAUAGAAAUAGUAGAAUAAUAGGUCGCAACAAUCACGAAAGAGGACUCCAUUUAUGGCAUAUAUAACAUCUAUCAUUUGUCCUUGCCCCAGCAAGUUGCCAAUUAUAUACAUUCCGAUUUCCCUGUCUGCCCACAUCUUUUCAUAAAAUUUUAUGUGUGACACUAAAUAUGCCUCCUUGAAGGUACUUAGUUAUCAAGUUGUAAGAGAACAUACACAUACUUAAUUCUGACCCUUCAUCUUCUAUAAAAGCCAUUAGAAGAGAUAGCUCCUCCACAACCACUACCCAGUGAAAAAAAAAAAAAAAAAAAAAAAAAAAAAAAAAACUCAUCCAACUUCUAAUUUUCUGUCUCUGUCAUUUUCCUUGGUAAAAUAUCUUUAUGCAGACCAGCAAUAUCAUCAGAAUCUCUAAAAGAUUGGACUACCUGAGAUGAUACCUUUUUCUGCACAUAAUUUGUCAGAAGCACCCAAAUUGGUUGGUUUAGAUGGUUGCUGAAUAACAUGCACAUCUGUUGCUGUAGACCAACCACUCUCAUUUGCCGCAAAGUUUCUAUUUAGGAGCAUUCCAUAUCAUGAUAAAGAAGUUGAAUAAGUAUAAGAAUCUUUUUCGGUUUAUUAGUCAAUCACUUAUAGAAAGAGAAACAGAUCAUCCAUGUACUGAUUAAAGCUUGAUUUCAAAUGAACUAUAAAAAUGCCUUACAAAUGCCGAUAAUCAAAAAACCAUUUGAUUAGUCGAUUGUAUCAAGGUUAUUUGGCAUGGAGAAGAUGAUCUCUGUGUGAACAUGAAAGAAUCAAGCAAAAUUUUCCUGUUUUCGAUGAAUUCUAGGGAUCGAGCAAAAUUCAGAGACUUAAAUGAGCGGUAAAAGAAUUUAUUCCUAAACAUAGCCACACAGCAAUUUAUUGCUAGGAAAAUGGAUGACAGAAAGAGAGAGCUUACUGCAGAGGACGAGAAGCCCAGAGGGAGCUGAGGGCUCGAAGGCGGCUGUAAUACUCUCCAAUCGCUAGGAAGCAUCUAGCUGCCUGUUGUGUAGUUAAAAUGUGGCGAAUUUGAUGUAAAGUCUGUUGCCUCAAAUUGUCAGCCUGCAUAAUCACAAGCUCAUUGAUUUUAUGUAGCCAAAAUUGAACGGCGUUUUGCUGUAAAGAAAGUGUAAUUCUUUGUAGCUUUACACAUGUCCUAAUGAAAGAUGGAGUGAUUCAUAGGUGAAACCAUCAGUUCUUGUGUUGGCUCUCAAGCAGAGAAACAUCCUCUUUGACUUUGAAGAAGGAAAUAGGGAAAACAUAAAAAUUAAGCAUAUCUGGAAACACUUAUGAGGAAGGAAGUUAGUGAAGAAGAUUUCAAACACAUUGUAGUCUUCUGCACAAGAUUUCGACUCUUCCAAGGUAAUCUAUACAGAUUUUAAAUGGUUCGCAUGUUCUUGUAACAUAAUGUCAUUGUCUUGUAGUUUAUUUUGGAUCUAAUAGUUGCUAACAAUUCUCCAAAACUUUUUUUUCUGCUUAAGUUACAACAUAGUUGAAUGUCCUAGCCUAUAUCGCACCAUCUCCUUUAUUCCCCUACUGUUUAUUUUAAGAGCCAUAAAGACUUGAUCUAACCUACGAUUCUUCAAUCGAAUUGUUCCGAUUGUUGUAUGGCACGGAACAUGGUAAUAAAAGUGCAGUCUUUAUAGGAUGGAAUAAGUAUAUAUGCAGGAAAGAAAUAAAAAUAAAUCUUACUUGAAUUGAACAGAAUGAGGUAUGACCAAAAACCCCGUAAAACAGCUUCCUCAGAAAAACUCAAAAUGCAUUUGCAGUGAUGCCGCAAUUAUAUGUUUAGACUACAGCGAACUAAUCAUCCGUCUGUCAUGCUCGAAGAUUAAUAAUUUGCUUACGAUCCUACCUAAUGCAAGCAUCCUUUUGUCUUAUCCUUUCGCUUCAAAUUUAACCGAGCAUGGCGAUUGAUAAUAGCUUCAAUAGUUAGCGGACUCGUUUAGAAUUUAGUACAUUUCCUCUUUUAUAACUUUUGAAUUCUUCAAAUUUCUUUUCAGAUUUUCUGAAUCUACAAGAUACUGCAUUAGAAUAUGCUUCUAUCAUAUGAAACAAUACAUGUAAAAUUAUGCUUAAUCAUGACUAUGGAAAGAAAAAAGACGAGGACCUGGCGGAUGAAGACUUCGAGGUUGGCAAGUUUGUCAAGUGCUACGGCCGUGUAGUCCAUGUAGCUUAAUGUGCCGUCAUUGGCAGGGAGGCCGGUCGCAACUGUAUCAGCCAACGAAUGGUGGAGCUGUUCGAAGCCCUGCAAGAGCGCUUCCUCUGCCUGCUGCGACGACUGCUGGAGGCUGCAUAUCCCCAUCAGCUGCUGCUCCGUCAGCGGAUCCAGAUGAGGCAUCAGAAUCUAUUAAAAAUUUGUUCAGAGCUGUAGGUAUGAGUUGUGCAAAAUCAACUUCAUUAACUGAAGUACUACAACCCAAUAUGCAAAGUCCAACCUCCCAAGUACUAUAAUUUCAGGAACAAAGACUAUGCUAGUAUUAGUCCGGACUUCGUAUAGGCUAAAUCUACAGGUGAUCUUAACAUUUGUUUAAUGCAUUCACGGUUGCUUUGGUGUUAAAUUUGCGAGUUUCUACGGCAUAUAUGUAGUGUGAAAAAUAACUCAUUUAUCUAGAAGCUUAAUAGUUAUAUUCGACCCUCUUUUUCAUGUUGGGGCUCAGAAGUCGCGACUUCUAAGAGGUCCCAAGAGGCCAACUCCAAUACCUCACUGAUGCAAGCAGGAUAAAAGUAGGAUGCAAAUAUUGUAGUGCAGGAAAAGAAAAGAGAAGGUGUAAAGGAAGAAAAAAAAAAAGAAGAAAAAGAGGAAUAAGCCGCACAUGCUAGACACAGACCACACAGGCACUAAAAAAAUUCACACAUAAAUAAAAUAAAUUUUUAUUAACCGAAACUCUCUUUUUCUACAAUAGAUAUCAACCCUAAUUAUAAUAAAUCAAAUCUAAUCUAAUUAAAUAAUGCUCACCAUGAUUAGAUCUUUUUCUAAUCCAAAAUAUCUAAAAGAAUUCUACACUAUAUCUUUAAUUUUUAGAAAUUUAUUCUAUAUGAAAAAUCUAAAAAAAACCAAAAAACUAUAAAAUAUAAAAUAAAAUAAAUAACAAUAAUAAUAAUUCGAAUUUUUUUUUAAAAAAAUGCUAAUUAAUUCUUUUUGUUUUUUUUGUUUAGUCACAUCACUCGGGAAACAAACCAAUUUCUCAAAAAAAGUUAAACAUAUUGCAAUGUUGGUCAAGAAGAAUAAGAGAGCGAAAUUUGAGACCUUGAUUAGCUCAGAUGGCCGGAAUCCACCCAUCCACAAGAAGCACCUCUCUGCGGGGGUAGUCCACGUCCCUAUCAACAGGUGGAAUGCAUCACACUUAGCAGCUACUGCUCUGAGGCGGAAGAGCUCGUCGUGGUGAGCCAAGCAUUCGUCUAUAAUGAGCCCGAGAUUGCCGUCGAGAAGGCGAGCCUGCAGGCCAGCCCGCAGAGCUGAUAAAUGCUUCCCAUUGUCGUCCAACCAUCGGUUAUAUUCUAUGUCAAACACUGCUGCUGCACCUGUAAGCAGUACAUUUCCUUCCUUAGCAAUUAAUCAACGUUCAAUUUAGCUGUAGAAUGAUAUUACUAGCACCAACUUAAUUACCUGAAUUGAUGUCUCCAGGUGCAAUGCAUCCUCCUAGAAAUAGACCCUUAACACCAAAGCAGAUUGAGAUUUGAAAAUAAAACUUCUUAAAACAAUAUAUAUAUAUAUAUAUAUAUAUAUAUAUAUAUAUAUAUAUAAUUGAGCUUCUAUGCUUUUAAAAGUACCAAGUCAUUGAUACUUGUAAGUUUUUAGCCCUUGGAUUAAGGGAUGUGCGGUUAAGAUGAUGUGAGUCCCCUAGGGUUGAGUGGAUGGUUGGUUUAAAAGUACCAAGUCAUUGAUGCUUUUAAGUUUUUAGCCCUUGGAUUAAGAAAUGUGCGGUUAAGAUGAUGUGGGCCCCCUAGGGUUGAGUGGAUGGUUGGUUGAAUAGUAUAAUCUAAUAUGUGAAAAUAAUCAAAGGCGUAGAUCUAACGGUAAAAAAUUUACAAGCACCAAAUACUUGGUACUUUUACAGACACCAUAGCCGAACUAUAUAUAUAUAUAUAUAUAUAUAUAUAUAUAUAUAUAUAUAUAUAUAUAUAUAUAUAUAUAUAUGGAUUGAGGUUUGUUUAUUUGAACCUGCGAUUGCGAUCUUUGGAGUUCUUGCUCUAGUUGUUGAAGCCUAAUUCUGCUGGACUCUAGCUGCUGCACAUAAGCCUGUGGAUGUCCAAAGGAAAUUAAGUCAAGCAGAUCAGAUCACUUCGAUGUAGCCCUAGUCGACGCGAAUAACAUAUGUUACAUAUUGCACCUUCUUUCUUAGCCUGCUCUUCCUUGCUGCCUCUCUGUUUUGUGCUAAGCGCCUCAACGUCUGAUGAUUAGUAUUACUAACUUUAUUUAAUCUAGAAGAAAUUAGUGAGAGAAAAAAAAAUAAAAGGAAAAACAAAUAACAAAUUAUGCCAAAUUUCUAAUGGUUUUAAUUCUUUUUUUCCACUUAGGAAAGAACCGCCAUGUCCAUUGUGGUAAUUUAAAUAUACCUAUUGAUGUGGGCAUGAGAGAGAGAGAGAGAGAGAGAGAGAGAGAGAGAGAGAGGAGAAAGACCUUGGCGUCUAAUAAAUUGCCCUCUUUUCUCAUUGAACCAGUUAUCUUCCUCUGUGUGCCAUAACACAAGUCAGAAAAUAUAUCUUGUUUCUAAAUAACUUCUGUUGGAAGAACAUAGAAUAAAGCAGGAGAACAUGACGCAGAUUUGAGGAGUCAGUAGUGAAUAUAAUUUCAAGAAUGCGACAAACAAAAAGAACAGCAUGUACCAAGAGGACUUCAACAAAAUUGACAAUCUUAUACCUACUGAUUUGAACUUCAAUCGCCCAAAAUAUACGCCGUGUCGCCUAAAGAAAAACCUUCAGAUUUGGUGAAAAGUUUGUAAAAGAAAAAAGUUAUAGGUGCAGAUACAUGUAAUCUAUUAACCUUGCUAGUCUCUUUCUAUAUUAAAGUGAAACAAUUGGAGAAUUACUUGCCAUCCAAAAGAUUAAUAUAAUAGGUGAAGCCCACGAAUAGUCAUAGUACAAACAACUUAAGAGGUUGCAACAUAGCUUCUCCUGUUUACUUCAAAUCAGUGAUAAUAUCCUGGUAGUGACUUAAUCAUUCUAUCUACCAAGGAGGAUUUGGUAAUUGGAUUAAAGAAGUGAAGAAGUAACAAAUAAACUACCUUUUCUUGAGCUCCAAGCUUGUUGUUCUGAGCUGCUCCAAUCACUGAUGCAUCAUUUGCCAUCAGGAUAUUCUUCUGCUUCUUCUCCGAAGUCUGUUCCGACGAGUCCUGGUUUCUGCUUAACGGUGACUCUGAUUCCACCUCGGAUGCUGUGUUCUUACCUGCUGAGCCUAAAUCCCCCUAUUUUCAAUAAAGAAAGAAUCAUCAAGACCCAAUCUCCUCUAGUGUUUUACUGCUCUUCUCUAUGUAUAAAAAAAACAACAAAAAAUAAAAAAUAAAAUAAAAUUCCAAGUCAAAAGGGCAUGCAGGACCUUACUCCAUGUAUUUGCUGAUAUCUCAUUGACCAUGAAGGGAAGAUCUCAAGGGUGGGGAGUAUAUUUGUGUCUGCAAAGUGAAAACAUGCGUAGGAUCAAUAACUGUUCCCUCUACUGAAAGAAAUAGUACCCAGGAGUUUGCUUUUGCUUGUUUCCAGAAAGGAACUGGUACUCUCGUAGCCCUCUUCGCAUUCAAUCCACAACGUGUGGGAGAAAACAAGUAAUCCGAUCCGAUUUUAGUUUCUGGAUACGAUAGCAAUCCGGUUUGUAAGUUUUCGCUACUCUCUAAUUCCAACAGUUUUGAAGGUGUGGAUAGUGGAACACCCGAAUAAGAAUGAGGAAGGCAUGGGAUUUUCUAAGAUUGGGGGGUCACACCAAUUUGGUUUCUGAGUUGCAUGCCAUCAUUGUUGUGGAAAGGGCAAAGCCAGUAAUGCCUGUAUGGAAGCAUUUCUGGUAGGUAGUUAAGGUUGCAGAAAAAGUCACCACCAGGAAGGAGAGAGAGAGAGAGAGAGAGAGAAAGAGAGAGAGAGAAUGCCUACACUUUGUGUCCCCAUCACCUUCGACGCCGUCAACUCGCUGCAUGAGUGCCUCUUCCAACUCUCCAAAGUAAGCAGCUCCAUGUUGCUGAUCAUUGAUCGAGUAGCCGAAGCCCAUAUCACUACCAUGUAAGCGAGUUCGUAAUACUUUUUUAAGUAAAGGAACGAGGGCGAAGAUGAUGUGGAUAGAUAAGAAGAAAGAGUAAAAGGGAACUCAACAAUGGAUUAGGCUCAAGCAUUAUGAAGUUGGUGGUGGAGAGGUGUAAUCCAAUUGGAGGGUUGAGGAUUUAUGUAUGGUGUAGGUUGUUAUAUAUAAAGGUUAAAAGGGAGGGGGAAAGCAGUAGCAGCACAAAAUAAAGAAGCCACUAAGCGAUUUAAAAUUAGUGCAUGGAGAGAUGUAGAAAGAAUAAAUAAAUAAAUAAAUAAGAAGGAAAGCUUUGCCAAGAUUCAUAUGGCCAUAGCCUCAUUUUGUUCCUAAACCAAUUAGAGGUUCCAAAAUAUGCAAGAAGGAAGGAAAGAAAGAGUACACUGACUUGAUAGAGGGAAAUAUAUAUGUAGAUAGAGGAGAUAAGAUAUAGAGUACCAAGCACUUGGUACUUGUAAAUUUUUUACCUUUUAGAUCUACACUUUUGAUUAUUUUUAUUCGUUAGAUUAUACUAUUCAACCAACCAACCACCCACUCAAUCUUAAAAAACCCACAUCAUUCUAACUGCACAUUUCUUAAUCCAAUGACAAAAAAUCUAAAAGCACCAACAACUUGAUACUUUUAAAAACAUAGGAGCACAAUUCUAUAUGUAUAUGCAGCUCAGUUAUUAUAGAAUUUAGAAGUGCUCCUCUAUGUGUAUAGAUAAACUGGAGCAGUAAUAGAAGAAGAAGGUUCUAAGAUUGAUACUUAUAUUGGGCUGUUCUUCUUCUGUUACUCUCGCUUUUCCUUGUUUCUUUCACUAUACCUGUCUCCCUCUCUUAAAUAGGGUAUAUUCCUGUUUAAUCAAAAAAAAGAUUGAUACUUGUAUUGAUCUGGCUACUGCAAUCCUCAAUAUUUGAGGGAGAUAGCCAGAUAGGACAACCAUUGGAUGGGCUAGCUUUGAAAAUAUAAUUACUUUAAUAUAUGAGUGAAAUAGGACAAUCCAUUGUACUUGUAAGAAGAUCUUCUCCUUUAGAGGGAACAUGUCUCAUCUCACAAGUCUUUUUUGCACUGAGAGAGAGAGAGAAUAAUACUGUGUCUCUUUUGGCAGGAUUAUUAGUGACUCCUAUAUACUCCACUCCUUGUAAGAAACUCUUCUCUCUCAUUGGAAAAAUUCUAGAAUACAACAGAGUAUAUAUAUUGGUGACAUAGCGUAAUAAACUAAUCAAAUAUAUUUUUUUAGAAAUAUAUGUCUCAUCAUGAUUGUAAAAAAAUAUUUUUAUUGUACUUUUAUUUGAAAAGAAGAAAUAUGAUUGACUUAUUAUUGAUAACGUAGUGCAAGUGUGACAGUAUAGAAUUCUUCUCAUUGGCACCAUUUUGGGAAAGUACGUGACAAAACUUGCAAUGAAUAUUAGCAUAGAUAAAUUAAAUCCGAUGUCUAUUUAUCUUUUCUAUUUUUUUUUUUUAUACAUAAUAUGACGCCUCGUUGAAUUUUUUUUUACAAAAUAACACUCUAAAAUUUUAUUAUUUAUAAAAUAAUUUUGUCAAAAUUAUAUUUAAAAAAUUAAUCCUCUUUUUGCCGUGUAGAAACUGAAAUUUUCUCUUAAAGACGAUGAAUGGUUCACCGUCUUCAUGAAGACGGUGAACGAUAAUUUCUCACAAAAUUGGUGAAUUAUUCACCAACUUUCACUUAUUUAUUAUUAUUCCUUUCUGUAUCCCAUAUAUAAUCCUAACAAGCAAAUAAAUAUUUCAACAAACUAUAUAUGAUCAUAACAACCUGAAAAUUCUAAUAAUUUAUUCAUAUAAUCCUAACAAUCAAAAAAAAUCUUAAUAAUCUAUCCAUACAAUCUUAAUAAUCAAACAUCACAUAAAUUUUAACAACUUUAAAUUUUAAUAAUCUAUCCAUACAAUUUUAAUAAUAAAAAAAUCCUAAUAAUCUAUCCAUACAAUUCUAACAAUAAAAAAAAUUCAAAUAAUUUAUCAAUACAAUUCUAACAAUCAAACAAAAUUCUUAAUAUUCUACAUACAAUCAUAGCAUCCUCAUUUUUUAUUUUCCGUAUAAUCUACGUACAAUUUUAACAAUCUUAUUUUUUUCUCUUUCCUAUAUCAUGUAAAAAAAAUUUCAUAUAAUCUACGUAUAAUUUUAACAAUUUUAUUUUUUUUCUCUUUCCUAUAUCAUGUAAAAAAACUAUAAAGAAACGGUGAAUCAUUCAUCGUCUUAAUGAAUGUGGUGAAUUCUGCAUAACCCUUACGUGGCGAAGAGAGAGGGUUAGCUUGCCAAAUAUAAAUUUGAUAGAGUUAUUCUGUAAAUUAUAAAAUUUUAAAAGUUAUUUCGUGAACAAAUCCCAACCAGUGGGUGCCCCGCGGCACUCCAUUCGUUUUUUCUUUUUGUAUUUUCUUUUUUUGCGUUUUAUUUUAUUUUUUUUAUAUUAUAUUUUAUUACCCUCUGGGUGAACUUCCAUUUUUUUUUUCUUUUUUCCUUUUUGUACAUCUUAUUUUAUUUUAUUUUUUUCUUUUUUAUGCUACAAUUUAAUCAAACUAUAUUAUUAUGGAUAAACUUCAACUAUCACCCAUAUAGUUUCAUACUUUUUCACUUUAGUACCUUAUGUUUUAAAGUAUAUAAGUUAGUAUCCUAUGAUUUUAUUUUUCUCUUUUUAUUAUUCAUUCCACUAAUUUUUUUAAUUAAAUCAAUUAUAAAAUUAAAACUAAAAGGUACUAAAGUGACUAUUCGAUAAAUCUAGAUGGGGUAUUUGAAGAUUUUUAUAUAUAAUUUAACGAAAUAUUAACGAAGGAUCUGAGAGAAAGAGAAAAAUAAAAUCAUAGAUUACUAACUUAAUAUGCUUUAAACUAUAAAGUACUAAGAUGAAAAAAUAUGAAAUUAUUUGGAUGAUAUUUGAAGUUUACUCUAUUAUAUAUUAAGAAACGCUCAUUACAGUUGAUAUUUAAUUUAAAGUGACAAGCUAGUAUUUAAUAAGUAGAAUAUGUUACCAACCGUCCCUAGAGCAAAUGAAAAAGGGUUUGGUGGUUGGUACCCGAGACCCAAGUUCGAAUCCUAGUUGAUUCACAUUUUUAGCUAAGUUUAUUUCUAAAUGAAAUAAAACGAAGCGGGUAGCGUGCUAUCUAUCUCUAAAAAAAGAAAAAAAAAAAUAAAAUAUGUCAUAUCUAUGCCAAGUCAUUAUUAAUAAUUUGAGCUGAUAUUUGACAGUUAAUUUGAGUUGAUAACUCAAUAUUUAAGAAAUUAUAUCCUAUCUAUACCAGAUCGUUAUUAGUACGAUUAGUAUACAUUAAAAAAAUGCCCAAGAAGUUUUUUUUUUUUGAGAGAAAAUGCCCAAGAAGUUCGGCUCAGUAUACAAAUACGAUAUCCAUGAGUUUCGAUUGGGACUCUUGGCCAACCAGCCUCCGCUACAUAGACAGGAUACUAGCUUAUUUAAACCAACAAUCAUCUUCCGUAACAUGCAAAAAUUUACAAUAUGCAAGAAUCGAAUUUGUAAUUUACUCUAAUAUCACUAGUAAAUCCACUAAUUCGAAAAGCUGUCCAAAAGAGACAACCAAUUCACUUAAAAUAUAGACACAAUAUCCACGUGUCUCAAUUGUAACUCGACCAAACCAAGACUCCGUUAGGUAAGCAAGAUACUAAUCCAUUUAAGCCAACAAACUGCACUACAUUUAUAAGUUGAGCUGGAAUGCUUUUAGAAGUAUGGAAGCCUUCAUACAGUAGAAUCAUUUUUUGUGAUGGAUUUUCGAUUCGGUAAUCAACUUUACUAGACUUAAUCUAGAGUAUUUAAAAUAAUUAGAAUUUAAUUUUUCAAUUUUUUAAUAUCAUUCGUCUAAUGAUUGUAAGUUCUGAUGAAAGUAAACAAUUUUAAUAGUUGGUAUUAGAUGUUUGUAAGCCUACGUGUACAAAAUUAUCGAAAAUCAGGUGCAAGUUUGGUUAAAAAAAAAAAUUGCUACUCAAAAUAAGUUCAGGUCCUCUGAUCCAAAAUUUUACUAUUAUAUCGGUAGUUUUUAUUUCAACCAUUCAUUUUGAGAUCGCUAGAUCAUAAGAUUGUUGAUAUCAAAAAGUUAACUAAACUGGAAUCUUAAUAGAAACUUCAAAUAACCGACCGUCGCUAGAGCAAGUGGCAAAAGACUUGGUGGUUGGUAUCGGAGACCCAAAUUCGAAUCCUAGUUGAUUCUAAUUUCUAGCUAAGUUUAUUUCUAAAUGAAAUAAACGAAGCGGGUAGCGUGCUACCUAUUUCUCAAAAAAAAAAUGCUACUAUAUAAAAUAAUAAAAAAAAAUUAUGCUGGUUAAUUUUUAUAAUAUUUUUCUAUCAUUUUNUUUGAGAGAUAGGUAGUACGCUACCCGCUUCGUUUAUUUUAUUUAGAAAUAAACUUAGCUAGAAAUGUGAAUCAACUACAGAGGACUUGGUAAUUUUAAAAGCAUCCCACUUGAACUCCCAAAUUUAUUAUUUUGCCAUACUUGUAGCCUCUCCAACUAAAUUAGCACAAAUAUAUAAUCACACGAGUAGGUCUUGUAUGCUAUUAGGAGCACGGAGGCCUCCGUGCUCCUAAGCUGUUUUUGAGAUGGGGCUUCCGAAUCGACGAUCGGCUCCGUUAGACUUUAUCUAGCUUAUUUGAAGUAUCUAGAAAAUAAAUUUUGCGAUUUUUCGAUAUCAUUUACCUAGCGAUCGAAAGGGUUCAAAAUCAACGGUUGAAAAUAAAAAUCUCACAAAAAGUAGUGAUAUAGCAUUAAAAUUUUCGAUCAGAGAUAUUGAUCUUGCUGUAAAUAGUAUAAAGAAUUUUCUUGCAAAAUUUCAUCUGAUUUGAAUACUUCUACACCGUUAAACUUGCAAACGCUAUACAUCAACCAUUAAAAAUUAUUGAUUUUGAACCCUUUCGAUCGCUAGGUAAAUGAUACCGAAAAAUCGCAAAAUUUAUUUUCUAGAUAGUUCAAAUAUGUUAGAUCAAGUCUAACGGAUCCGAUCGUCGAUUCGGAAUCGCCAUCAUCGAAAAUGGCUUAGAAGCCUCCGUGCUCCUAAUAGCACACAAGACUAAAUCAUAAUCACACCACUAGUAAACCCACUUGCCUUAGUAGAACUGAAGAACUGAGGGCUUGGAUGGAUUUGUUUGAGAUUGUCCUCUGAUCUGUUCACGGGUCAACAUCUGCAAACUCGCCAAAAUCCCUAAAACCCAGAACAGCUCUCCUUCCUUUUCCAAGUUAAGAAAGAGUAUGUGGGAUGAUGGCCAACCACUAACCAAUUUAGUUUUUCCCGAUUAAAUCCAACUAAAUUUGGUUGAAUCCACUAGUCGUUAUGGGAAAGUUCAAUUAGGCUUUACUAGAUGAUGAAUCUAAAUCCUGGUGAUUUGAACUGGAUCAAUUUGCAAACAUUUUGCAUUUGCUAAUGGAGGACCUCCUUUGCAUGUGUGGAAUGAUUAAUUAGUAGGAUUUGUUUGGAUGCCUAACCAAGUUAUUAUUAAUUGUGUACAAGGAUCACUUUCAGCUUAGACAAUUCAGUUCACUAAAAUUCGCAUAAAACACGCGCUCAAUAAAAAGAAAAUGAGAAGAAAAAAUGCAAUACCAUUCCUUGGGCUUCUUUUUUUUUUCACUGGUCUAAACGCGAAAUAGUCAGCACUAUCAUUCCAAUCAAGCUAAAAUUGGUAGUAAAAUCGGUACGUCACUCGCCAGAGAGUAAGAUGCGAAGUACAUUUUAUGCACAAUUAAACCUGGACCAGACACCAUGCUAAAGACCCGUCGAACUUUUACGAGGAAAUUCAAUGAAGUUACUUCAAUUGAAGGUGCAAGGAUUAAUUAACUGGAAUUUCAGAAGAUGGUGGCUCAGAAAAUUAUACAAUACAUGUUGCCCCCUUUUGUUUGAAGUUACUGUCUCAAUGAGCCGUCAGAAGCCAGAUUUACUAUCACCAUAUUGAAAAGCACCAUAUUUUUUAAUUUGGAUUAGGCGCUGAUACGAUCGCCCAAAAGAGAAAAGAAUUAAUAUCAGGGAAUCAUUCUGGACAAGCUGAUUGUAUGGGCAAAGAAUGUCAAUUAAACAGUAAUAUAAGUGAAGCAUCCAGCCCACCGAAUCAACCCCCACCGACGUAAAUUUUGAACAUAUUAAGAAACUCUUGACUUUUUUGGUUCUCGCAAAAGUCUUCAUAAAUGGGUUCGUAUUUCAUCAACUCAAGAUUCUGCCACGAUUAUUCCAGUACGGUAUUGUUUGGUUCGGGAAUAAACAAAAAGUGGUUAUUUUAGGAUUAGUUAUAAAUUGAGGUAUAAGCGUGAGUUAGAUCAAUUUUGCGUUUUGAUGAAAAUUAGGUUAUUCCUAGGAAGAAAAAAAAUAACGUUUGGUCAGAUAAGAUGGAAUAAGAAGAAUAGUAAAUUUUUAUAAAUAAAAAAUAAUGAUAUUACCCUCUUAUUAUAUUUGAAUUUGAAUUUUUAAAUUUUUAAAUUUAAAAUUUUAGCUUUGAAAUUUUAAAAUUUGAAAUUGAAAUUUUAAAUUUAAAAUCUCAAAUUUUAAAUUAAAAAAAGUUUGUAAGAUCAAAUUUAAAUAUAAAAAAUAUAAAAUAUCAAAUUUUAAAUUUUAAAAAUUUAAAAUAUCAAAUUUAAAAUUUAAAAUUUAAAAUUUAAAAUUUAAAAUUAUAAACUUUAAUUUUGAGAUUAUAAAUUAUAAAUUUUAAAAAUUUUUAAUUUUUUCAAAUAAGAAUAGGGGUGGAAACAAUUAAUAAAAAUAAUUUAUUAUAAUAAAUGUAUAAAUUUUUUUAAAAUUCUACUUAAACUUAAAUUUAAUAAAAAGAAUUUAUUAUAAUAUUUAAANAUUAGAUAAAUAAUAAUAAAUUAUAAAUAGAUUAUUAUUUAAAUAUUUAUUAAAUUAAUAACUUAAAUAAUUAAUUAGUCAAUUAUUAAAAAAAUUAAUUGUAUUAAUUAAUUAUAAUUUAUAAUUUAAUUGGUAGAGGAAUAAAUUAGAGAAUAGCUUGUUCCACCCAAUAGAUGGAACUACUAUUCUCCCCUCUUAACGGGUUAUUCCAGAAUAAGACGUUAACGCGGAAUUAAAUUAACAUGCCAAUUUUGCUUGGUGUUUGGCAAGAAUAGUGGGAUAAAAGGGGUUAUUCUCCUUUUAUUCCCACAACCAAACGGGGCCUUAAGAAUAAGAUUAUGUUAAGACUUAAUUACACGAGUGAAGGCCCGCGCUUCGCAGCGGGAUAUUUAUGCAAAUUUUAAAAUAUUUUGAACAAAUUUUUCUAAUUUUAUAAUUUCUAAAUUUAAUUUUAAAUUUUAAAAUUCAAAAGUUAAACAGAAAGAAAAAUUAAAAAAAAUUAUUUAAAUAUGGAAGGAUAAAAAAAUUUGAAACUUAAAACACAAUUUAUUAUAUGUAUUAUUAAUAAAUUAAUUAAUUAUAUAUUAUAUAACAUUAUUAAUAAAUUUAAUUAAUUAAAUGCUAAUAGUUAAAUUUAAAAUUUAAAUAUAAAAAUAUAAAAUUCAAAAAUUAAAAUUUUAAAAUCUCUCUCUCUCUCCCUCCCUCUCUCUCUCUCCCCCUGUGUCUCUCUUUCUCUCUCUUGCUCUCUCUCCCUCUUUCUCUCUCUUUUUCUCUCUCCCAGCGCCUGUCUUCCUCUCUCUCUUCCCCUCUCUCCCUCAGUCCCUCUUUCCACUCCCCCUCACCCAGUGCUCGCGUCGUGCCCGCGCCCCGCAUGCCCGCGCCGCGCCCCGCCACGGGCGCCCACGCCGCCCGCUCCCUACACCCCCGAGCCACGCCCUGCCCCGCACGCCUGCGCAGCUCGCUCCCCGCACGGCCGCGCCGAGCCCGGCGCUCUGCACCUACCUGCUCCCCGCGCCCGUGCCCGCCCCCUCGCGCCCGUGCCCGCCCGCCCUGUUUGCCGCCUCGUGCUGGCGUCCGCGCCCCGCGCCCGCAGGGAGGCCUUUGGCCCGCGCCCGCGUUAGCGGCGGAGCUUGCCACUGCGCCGGCGCUCGCGGUCAGGUAAAGGAGAGAAGGGAGGAGAGAAAGAGAGAGAGAGAGAGAGACCGGGGGGGAGAGGAAAAGAUGGGAGAUGGGUGGCGGGGGGGAGUGGGUGAGGAGAAGAGGGAGAGAACCGGAGAGGGGGGAGAGGGAGAAGAAAGAGUGGUGAGAGAAGAGGGGGGCCGCGAAUCCCCGGGCACACGGGUCGCGUGCAUGGCGCGGGGCGCGCGCACACGCCUGGCGCGGGUCCCGCGCACAUGGGGGAGAGAGAGAGCCGGAGGGGGGGUGUGGGGAUCCCUGCUCUCUCUCUCUCUCUCUCUCUCUCUCUCUCUCUCUCCAUCUCCUUCUUUCUCUCUCUCGCGCGACCGGACCCCCCAAACGCGGGGAUGUCUGCUCUCUCUCUCUCUCUCUCCCUUCAUCUAUUCUCUCUCUUUCUCUCUCUCUCUCGCGACCGGCCCCCCCAAACGCGGCGCAGGCCCCCCUCUCUCUCUUUUCCUCUCUCUUUCUCUCUUUCUCUCUUCCUCGCGAGCGCGGAAAAACCGCCACGUAGGCCACAAUCUGCUCUCUCUCUCUCCCUCUGCUCUCUCUCUCUCUCUCCCUCUCUCUCCCCCGCGCGUGCUGCGGGCGCGGGUCGCCUGCACGCAGGCCCCCCCCCUCUCUUUCUCUUUCUCUCUCUUUCUCUCUUCCUCUCUUCCCCGCGAGUGCGGAGAAACGGCCACGUCGGCCACAGUAAAACUCUCGAUUCAAUUUAUAUAUAGAUAACCUGGGAUUUACACUGCACUCCAAUCUGCCUAGAUAACGCGAAGCAUACCACAAUAUUGAAUCAUCACUUGUGUCUCAAAAUAAGGAUGAAAGGAACUAGUGACAACUUCACAAAUACUUAUUAGUAAACAACUUUACAACCCACAUUUUACGAGCAUUUAGCAAAGAGUAAACACAAGAGAAAUAAUAUAAGGUUAAAAAAAAAAACCAUAAGAACAUAAGAAUUUACAUAAUUAGGCUAUACCUACAUUCAUGAGAGAAGAAUGCAAAAAAAACAAAAACAAAAAAACUUCCACUAUAAAUGUAAUAAUCGAGGGACUAAAAUGUAACAUCCCUUUCUUUUUUUUUUUGAUAAAAGCAAACCAAUUUCAGUGAAUUUAAUUUCCUUGACUUUUGAGGGCCUCUAGUGCUUGUUGGCGCGUGUCUGUGAGACGUAAUUGUCACCCUACUGCGUUAACAGAAUUUUGGAUUUUCUAAUGGAACUGAGAAAAUUCAAAAAAUGAACCACUCCGUGAUCAAGCCAUUAUUUUUAAUUUUGUGAUUUUUUUCAUAGUUUUUACGAACAAAAAGUCCUAUCGAGAAGUACACUUAGAGACGAACGAAGAUACUGUUGAAAUCUGUAUUCCGAGCGCAAAGUUAUAGGCAUGCAUCUUAAGUUGGCACUUGCGCAAAUUUGGCUGCGAGCUGAAAUAGAAUUGUUGCCGGUGUCCCUCACAAUUGUUGCUCGUGGGAGGGACUUCCGUGCAAAAUUUCUUCAUGGAGGAGCACAUUCGCAACUACGAGGAGGCAAGCGGCCGUCGUGCAAGUGUCGCAACCUCAAUUUCAAUCAACGGAACCCAUUAAAGAAAGUGCCCCCCCUCAAGCAGGAAAAAUUUUAGAAUGCAACAGGUAUAUUAGUGACGUGGCGUAACAAACCAAUCAAAUUAAUCCUUUUAAGAAUAUAUGUCCCAUCAUGAUUGUAAAAAAAUAUUUUUAUUAUACUUUUGUUUGAAAAGAAGGAAUGUGAUUGGCUUGUUAUUGAUGACGUGGUGCAAGUGUGACAAUGUAGAAUUCCUCCUCAAGCAGCUGGUAUGAUCCAC
Molecule: long non-coding RNA, 41818 nt
Filed under: Ananas comosus (pineapple)
Lineage: Eukaryota; Viridiplantae; Streptophyta; Magnoliopsida; Poales; Bromeliaceae
Description: long non-coding RNA (ACOM_LNC033439)
Source: RNAcentral